RNAcentral lists this ribosomal RNA (497 nucleotides) under uncultured bacterium. RNAcentral describes it as "partial 16S ribosomal RNA". It matches the Rfam family "Bacterial small subunit ribosomal RNA", at positions 28 to 507 of the family's 1533-position model. The record is from RNAcentral.
GAUGAACGCUGGCGGCGUGCCUAAUACAUGCAAGUCGAGCGAACAGACGAGGAGCUUGCUCCUCUGACGUUAGCGGCGGACGGGUGAGUAACACGUGGAUAACCUACCUAUAAGACUGGGAUAACUUCGGGAAACCGGAGCUAAUACCGGAUAAUAUAUUGAACCGCAUGGUUCAAUAGUGAAAGACGGUUUUGCUGUCACUUAUAGAUGGAUCCGCGCCGCAUUAGCUAGUUGGUAAGGUAACGGCUUACCAAGGCAACGAUGCGUAGCCGACCUGAGAGGGUGAUAGGCCACACUGGAACUGAAACACGGUCCAGACUCCUACGGGAGGCAGCAGUAGGGAAUCUUCCGCAAUGGGCGAAAGCCUGACGGAGCAACGCCGCGUGAGUGAUGAAGGUCUUCGGAUCGUAAAACUCUGUUAUUAGGGAAGAACAAAUGUGUAAGUAACUAUGCACGUCUUGACGGUACCUAAUCAGAAAGCCACGGCUAACUACGUG